GACGGAGGGUGCAAGCGUUAUCCGGAAUCAUUGGGUUUAAAGGGUACGUAGGCGGUGUAUUAAGUCGGGGGUAAAAUACAGCAGCUUAACUGCUGGGGCGCCUUCGAUACUGGUAUGCUAGAGAGAUGUGAAGGUAGGUGGAAUUUAUGGAGUAGCGGUGAAAUGCAUAGAUACCAUAAGGAACGCCGAUAGCGAAGGCAACUUACAUUACGUCAUCUGACGCUGAGGUACGAAAGCGUGGGUAUCAAACAGG
Molecule: ribosomal RNA, 253 nt
Filed under: uncultured bacterium
Lineage: Bacteria
Description: partial 16S ribosomal RNA
Rfam family: Bacterial small subunit ribosomal RNA
Source: RNAcentral